Molecule: RNA transcript, 772 nt
Organism: Nomascus leucogenys (northern white-cheeked gibbon)
Lineage: Eukaryota; Metazoa; Chordata; Mammalia; Primates; Hylobatidae
Gene name: immunoglobulin heavy variable 1-18-like
Exons: 2
Source: RefSeq, a predicted model, not a curated record
ACCCAACAACCAUAUCGCUCCUCUAGAGAAUCCCCUGAGAGCACGGCUCCUCACCAUGGACUGGACCUGGAGGGUCAUCUUCUUGGUGGCAGCAGCCACAGGUGCUCACUCCCCGGUGCAGCUGGUGCAGUCUGGGGCUGAGGUGAAGAAGCCUGGUCCUCAGUGAAGGUCUCCUACAAGGCUUUACAAGCUCUGCUAUGCAGUGAGUGCAACAAGCCCAUGGACAAGGCCUUGAGUGGAUUAGAUGGAUCAUCGCUGGCAAUGGUAACACAGGCUAUGCACAGAACGUCCAGGGCAGAGUCAACAUGACCACAUACAUGCCUACGAACACAGCCUACAUGGAGCUGAGCAGCCUGAGAUCUGAGAACACGGCCGUGUAUUACUGUGUGAGAGACACAGUGUGAAAACCCACAUCCUGAGAGUGUCAAAAACCCCAGGAAGGAGGCAGCUGUGCUGGCAUAGAGGAGAUGACAAAGAUUAUUAGAUUGAAGACUUUCUUAGAAAAUGAUAUUAAGUCAUUAACAAGAAGGAACAAUAUAAAUGUGUAUUUGAGAAAUUUUAGUUAUUUGGGAGAUUUUUCAUACCUUUAUUCUGUAAGCAAAUUUCAGGGUUUGGAGAAUGAAUCAAAUGAAUAAAGCUGAUAUAGAAUUUCCUCUGAAGGUAUCUUUGUAAACAUCAAUUUCUGAAUCAGUGUUGUAAAUAUUUUGGAACACAGACACAAGUUCACAUUUUAACUCUACCUUUUUAUCUAUUAAAAAACACCAAAAAUAGG